UACGAAGGGGGCUAGCGUUGCUCGGAAUUACUGGGCGUAAAGCGCACGUAGGCGGCUUCUUAAGUCGGUGGUGAAAUCCUGGAGCUCAACUCCAGAACUGCCUUCGAUACUGGGAAGCUCGAGUCCGGGAGAGGUGAGUGGAACUGCGAGUGUAGAGGUGAAAUUCGUAGAUAUUCGCAAGAACACCAGUGGCGAAGGCGGCUCACUGGCCCGAUACUGACGCUGAGGUGCGAAAGCGUGGGGAGCAAACAGG
This 253-nucleotide ribosomal RNA is filed under the name uncultured bacterium. Its description in RNAcentral is "partial 16S ribosomal RNA". It matches the Rfam family "Bacterial small subunit ribosomal RNA", at positions 524 to 776 of the family's 1533-position model. The record is from RNAcentral.